UACCGAUAUUUUCCUCGGCAGUUAACUGCAGCUGGUUUUUGAAUUCCUCGGCAGUUAACUACCGAGGGGGCA
This 72-nucleotide microRNA precursor is filed under the name Medicago truncatula (barrel medic). Its description in RNAcentral is "MIR2629 microRNA precursor family". It matches the Rfam family "MIR2629 microRNA precursor family". The record is from Rfam by way of RNAcentral. Lineage: Eukaryota; Viridiplantae; Streptophyta; Magnoliopsida; Fabales; Fabaceae.